Molecule: unclassified non-coding RNA, 27 nt
Filed under: Mus musculus (house mouse)
Lineage: Eukaryota; Metazoa; Chordata; Mammalia; Rodentia; Muridae
Description: oocyte_clustered_small_RNA1529
Source: RNAcentral
UAGAUGUUAAGACUUUACACCUGUUGG